RNAcentral lists this ribosomal RNA (457 nucleotides) under uncultured bacterium. RNAcentral's name for it is "partial 16S ribosomal RNA". It matches the Rfam family "Bacterial small subunit ribosomal RNA", at positions 30 to 523 of the family's 1533-position model. The record is from RNAcentral.
AUUGAACGCUGGCGGAAUGCUUUACACAUGCAAGUCGAACGGUAAGGCCCUUCGGGGUACACGAGUGGCGAACGGGUGAGUAACGCGUGGGAACGUACCCUUUAGUUCGGGAUAACGAUUGGAAACGAUCGCUAAUACCGGAUACGUCCGAGAGGAGAAAGAUUUAUCGCUAAAGGAGCGGCCCGCGUUAGAUUAGGUAGUUGGUGGGGUAAAGGCCUACCAAGCCUGUGAUCUAUAGCUGGUCUGAGAGGAUGAUCAGCCACACUGGGACUGAGACACGGCCCAGACUCCUACGGGAGGCAGCAGUGGGGAAUAUUGGACAAUGGGGGAAACCCUGAUCCAGCAAUGCCGCGUGAGUGAAGAAGGCCUUCGGGUUGUAAAGCUCUUUUAUUAACGACGAUAAUGACGGUAGUUAAUGAAUAAGCCCCGGCUAACUUCGUGCCAGCAGCCGCCGUAA